RNAcentral lists this ribosomal RNA (253 nucleotides) under uncultured bacterium. RNAcentral describes it as "partial 16S ribosomal RNA". It matches the Rfam family "Bacterial small subunit ribosomal RNA", at positions 524 to 776 of the family's 1533-position model. The record is from RNAcentral.
UACGGGGGGGGCAAGCGUUGUUCGGAAUUACUGGGCGUAAAGGGCUCGUAGGUGGCCAACUAAGUCGGACGUGAAAUCCCUCAGCUUAACUGGGGAACUGCGUCCGAUACUGGAUGGCUUGAGUUUGGGAGAGGGAUGCGGAAUUCCAGGUGUAGCGGUGAAAUGCGUAGAUAUCGGGAGGAACACCGGUGGCGAAGGCGGCGACCUGGGUAGAUACUGACGCUGAGGCGCGAAAGCGUGGGGAGCAAACAGG